AAUAAACCUGAUGUGGCUGUUAGCUGGCUUUUCGAAGCAUGUGCUCGUCCGUCAUCUUUAUCUCUCCACCUGUGCACAUUUUGUAGUCUUGGAUACCUCUCGAGGCAACUCGGAUUUUAGGAUCGCCGUGGCUUUCCUUUCAUUUCCAAGACUAUGUUUUUAUAUACACCAAAGUAUGUUUAAAGAAUGUUAUCAAUAGGAACUUGUUUCCUAUAAAAUUAUACAACUUUCAGCAACGGAUCUCUUGGCUCUCGCAUCGAUGAAGAACGCAGCGAAAUGCGAUAAGUAAUGUGAAUUGCAGAAUUCAGUGAAUCAUCGAAUCUUUGAACGCACCUUGCGCUCCUUGGUAUUCCGAGGAGCAUGCCUGUUUGAGUGUCAUUAAAUUCUCAACCUUCCAGCUUUUUUUUUAUUAGCUUGGUUUGGCUUGGAUGUGGGUGUUGCAGGCUUCAUUAAUGAGGUCAGCUCUCCUUAAAUGCAUUAGCGGAACUUUUGUGGACCGUCUAUUGGUGUGAUAAUUAUCUACGCCGUGGAUGUGAAGCAGCUAUAUAUGAAGUUCAGCUUCUAACCGUCCAUUGACUUGGACAAUUUUUGACAAUUUGACCUCAAAUCAGGUAGGACUACCCGCUGAACUUAA
RNAcentral lists this ribosomal RNA (634 nucleotides) under uncultured Laccaria. RNAcentral describes it as "eukaryotic LSU rRNA". The stretch from base 225 to 378 matches the Rfam family "5.8S ribosomal RNA". Lineage: Eukaryota; Fungi; Basidiomycota; Agaricomycetes; Agaricales; Tricholomataceae. The record is from RNAcentral.